GUGCAGCAGGCGAGAAACCUCCGCAAUACACGAAGGUGUGACGGGGCCAUCCCGAGUGCCGUCCGCUGAGGACGGCUUUUCCCCAGUGUACACAGCUGGGGGAAUAAGGAGAGGGCAAGCCUGGUGUCAGCCGCCGCGGUAAUACCAGCUCUCCGAGUGGUGGGGACGCUUAUUGGGCCUAAAGCAUCCGUAGCCGGCUGGGCAAGUCCUCCGUUAAAUCCAACGAUUCAAUCGUUGGGCUGCGGGGGAUACUGUCCAGCUUGGGGGCGGGAGAGGCCGACGGUAUUCCCGGGGUAGGGGUGAAAUCCUAUAAUCCCGGGAGGACCACCAGUGGCGAAGGCUGUCGGCUAGAACGCGCCCGACGGUGAGGGGAUGAAAGCUGGGGGAGCGAACCGGAUUAGAUACCCGCGUAGU
This 414-nucleotide ribosomal RNA is filed under the name uncultured microorganism. RNAcentral's name for it is "bacterial SSU rRNA". It matches the Rfam family "Archaeal small subunit ribosomal RNA", at positions 330 to 745 of the family's 1478-position model. The record is from RNAcentral.